UACGUAGGGGGCGAGCGUUGUCCGGAUUUAUUGGGCGUAAAGAGCGUGUAGGCGGCCAGCUAGGUCUGCUGUGAAAACUCGAGGCUCAACCUCGAGACGUCGGCGGAAACCAUCUGGCUAGAGUCCGGAAGAGGAGAGUGGAAUUCCUGGUGUAGCGGUGAAAUGCGCAGAUAUCAGGAAGAACACCCGUGGCGAAGGCGGCUCUCUGGGACGGUACUGACGCUGAGACGCGAAAGCGUGGGGAGCGAACAGG
This 253-nucleotide ribosomal RNA is filed under the name uncultured bacterium. Its description in RNAcentral is "partial 16S ribosomal RNA". It matches the Rfam family "Bacterial small subunit ribosomal RNA", at positions 524 to 776 of the family's 1533-position model. The record is from RNAcentral.